This 764-nucleotide long non-coding RNA is filed under the name Fukomys damarensis (Damara mole-rat). RNAcentral's name for it is "lncRNA (ENSFDAG00000021714.1)". Lineage: Eukaryota; Metazoa; Chordata; Mammalia; Rodentia; Bathyergidae. The record is from RNAcentral.
CAUGCGCUCAAGUGACGCAAGGAAAUAACCCUAGUUCCUAGGAUGGCGCAUGAUCCAAGUUAUUAUAGUAAGCUCUAGUGUUUACACCUAAGCCUGAAAAGAUAAUCCUUGCUCACAGUAUUUCCAUUGCAGUCCAUGAAAAAUCCACAUACAAGCCAAAAAUGUGGUUUGUCAGAUAUUUUGUCAUAAUAACGGAAACCUGACUAACACAGAGGGAAACAGAUAUUUGAAACCAUGCACCUACUUAGCAAGAGAACAGGAGCACUUGACGGAAAUGACACAGACUAUUAAGAGGUGAUUCAAGGGUGAAUCCAAAGAUUUUGUCCUAAGCAAGUGAGUAAACCACACAGGUGGAUCUCUAAGAAGAAAAUAUCAUGUCUUCCCACUCUGCACUGUAUCCCUUGGAGAAGAGUGCCUACUGUAUGCAGAGCGUGUUUGCAUAUUUGGAUUCUCUGAAGGACACAAUGACUUCCCCCCAUGAUACCGCAACACAAUUGCUCAGCUAUCAAGUAAAGCUUUUUUAUCCUGCUGAGUUCAAAGUUCAAAAUUUAUUUCUUAGCUUAAUGCAAUGCUAGUGCAAGUGUGUUUAAUAUAUUCAUUCUAAAUGCCAUCAGAGGACGGUGGUGUCAACAUUUUGGCUUUGUUUGGACAGCUUUUGUGCAAGUGCAAACACUGAGUGUAUGAAAUCUAAUGAGAUUAGGCGGUUACUGCAAAAUUAAAGGCAGGCGACUAGACUUCAAAGACAUUACCGCAGUGCAAAUCCC